This 348-nucleotide unclassified non-coding RNA is filed under the name soil metagenome. RNAcentral's name for it is "partial contains 5.8S ribosomal RNA, internal transcribed spacer 2, and large subunit ribosomal RNA". The stretch from base 1 to 120 matches the Rfam family "5.8S ribosomal RNA", at positions 35 to 154 of the family's 154-position model. The record is from RNAcentral.
GAUGAAGAACGUAGCGAAAUGCGAUAAGUAGUGUGAAUUGCAGACUUUAGUGAAUCAUCGAAUCUUUGAACGCACAUUGCGCCCGCCAGUAUUCUGGCGGGCAUGCCUGUCUGAGCGUCAUUUCAACCCUCAUGCCCCUAGGGCGUGGUGUUGGGGAUCGGCCAAAGCCCGCGAGGGACGGCCGGCCCCUAAAUCUAGUGGCGGACCCGUCGUGGCCUCCUCUGCGAAGUAGUGAUAUUCCGCAUCGGAGAGCGAUGAGCCCCUGCCGUUAAACCCCCAACUUUCCAAGGUUGACCUCAGAUCAGGUAGGAAUACCCGCUGAACUUAAGCAUAUCAAUAAGCGGAGGA